This 897-nucleotide ribosomal RNA is filed under the name uncultured Thermoplasmatales archaeon. RNAcentral describes it as "bacterial SSU rRNA". It matches the Rfam family "Archaeal small subunit ribosomal RNA", at positions 21 to 923 of the family's 1478-position model. Lineage: Archaea; Methanobacteriati; Thermoplasmatota; Thermoplasmata; Thermoplasmatales. The record is from RNAcentral.
AGGUCACUGCUAUUGGGAUCCGACUAAGCCAUGCGAGUCGAGAGGGUUCGGCCCUCGGCAGACUGCUCAGUAACACGUGGACAAUCUGCCCUUAGGUGGAGGAUAAUCUCGGGAAACUGAGGAUAAUACUCCAUAGGUCUAGGAUGCUGGAAUGCACCUAGGCUUAAAACUCCGGUGCCUAAGGAUGAGUCUGCGGACUAUCAGGUAGUAGUCAGGGUAAUGACCUGACUAGCCUACGACGGAUACGGGUUGUGAGAGCAAUAACCCGGAGACGAUAUCUGAGACACGAUAUCGGGCCCUACGGGGCGCAGCAGGCGCGAAACCUUCACACUGUGCGAAAGCGCGAUGAGGGGAUCCCAAGUGCUUGCUCUUAGGAGUAAGCUGUUUCUCUGUUUAAAACGCAGGGAGAGGAAGGGCUGGGUAAGACGGGUGCCAGCCGCCGCGGUAAUACCUGCAGCUCAAGUGGUGACCGCUAUUAUUGGGCCUAAAACGUUCGUAGCCGGCUGAGUAAAUGCCUGGGUAAAUCGUGCCGCUUAACGGUACGAAUUCCGGGUAGACUGCUUAGCUUGAGACCGGGAGAAGCUAGAGGUACUCCUGGGGUAGGGGUGAAAUCCUGUAAUCCCUGUGGGACCACCAGUGGCGAAGGCGUCUUACCAGAACGGGUCUGACGGUGAGGAACGAAACCCUGGGGCGCAAACCGGAUUAGAUACCCGGGUAGUCCCAGCCGUAAACGAUGUUCGCUAGGUGUCUGGAAUGGUGCGACCGCUUUCAGUGCCGCAGAGAAGCCGUGAAGCGAACCACCUGGGAAGUACGGCCGCAAGGCUGAAACUUAAAGGAAUUGGCGGGGGAGCACCACAACAAGUGGAGCCUGCGGUUUAAUUGGAUUCAACGCCGGAA